This 430-nucleotide ribosomal RNA is filed under the name bacterium. RNAcentral's name for it is "partial 16S ribosomal RNA". It matches the Rfam family "Bacterial small subunit ribosomal RNA", at positions 355 to 776 of the family's 1533-position model. The record is from RNAcentral.
UGGGGAAUAUUGGACAAUGGGCGCAAGCCUGAUCCAGCCAUGCCGCGUGUGUGAAGAAGGCCUUUUGGUUGUAAAGCACUUUAAGCGAGGAGGAGGCUACUUGGAUUAAUACUCUAGGAUAGUGGACGUUACUCGCAGAAUAAGCACCGGCUAACUCUGUGCCAGCAGCCGCGGUAAUACAGAGGGUGCGAGCGUUAAUCGGAUUUACUGGGCGUAAAGCGUGCGUAGGCGGCUUCUUAAGUCGGAUGUGAAAUCCCUGAGCUUAACUUAGGAAUUGCAUUCGAUACUGGGAAGCUAGAGUAUAGGAGAGGAUGGUAGAAUUCCAGGUGUAGCGGUGAAAUGCGUAGAGAUCUGGAGGAAUACCGAUGGCGAAGGCAGCCAUCUGGCCUAAUACUGACGCUGAGGUAUGAAAGCAUGGGGAGCAAACAGG